UCCUGGGUUGGCCACUGGAUGCGUUCACAAU
This 31-nucleotide non-coding RNA is filed under the name Homo sapiens (human). Lineage: Eukaryota; Metazoa; Chordata; Mammalia; Primates; Hominidae. The record is from RNAcentral.